CCUACGGGAGGCAGCAGUGAGGAAUAUUGGUCAAUGGACGCACGUCUGAACCAGCCAUGCCGCGUGAAGGAAGACGGCCCUAUGAGUUGUAAACUGCUUUUGUACGAGGAUAAACGCAGAUACGCGUAUCUGUCUGAAAGUAUCGUACGAAUAAGGAUCGGCUAACUCCGUGCCAGCAGCCGCGGUAAUACGGAGGAUUCGAGCGUUAUCCGGAUUUAUUGGGUUUAAAGGGUGCGUAGGUGGUCGGAUAAGUUAGGGGUGAAAUCCUGAGGCUCAACUUCAGAAUUGCCAUUGAUACUGGCCGGCUAGAGAGUAGUUGCGGUAGGCGGAAUGUAUGGUGUAGCGGUGAAAUGCUUAGAGAUCAUACAGAACACCGAUUGCGAAGGCAGCUUACCAAGCUACGUCUGACAUUGAGGCACGAAAGCGUGGGGAUCAAACAGGAUUAGAUACCCGAGUAGUC
This 460-nucleotide ribosomal RNA is filed under the name uncultured bacterium. RNAcentral describes it as "partial 16S ribosomal RNA". It matches the Rfam family "Bacterial small subunit ribosomal RNA", at positions 338 to 795 of the family's 1533-position model. The record is from RNAcentral.